This 468-nucleotide ribosomal RNA is filed under the name uncultured bacterium. RNAcentral describes it as "partial 16S ribosomal RNA". It matches the Rfam family "Bacterial small subunit ribosomal RNA", at positions 28 to 507 of the family's 1533-position model. The record is from RNAcentral.
GACGAACGCUGGCGGCGUGCUUAACACAUGCAAGUCGAACGGAAAGGCCCUGCUUUUGUGGGGUGCUCGAGUGGCGAACGGGUGAGUAACACGUGAGUAACCUGCCCUUGACUUUGGGAUAACUUCAGGAAACUGGGGCUAAUACCGUAUAGGAGCUCCUGCUGCAUGGUGGGGGUUGGAAAGUUUCGGCGGUUGGGGAUGGACUCGCGGCUUAUCAGCUUGUUGGUGGGGUAGUGGCUUACCAAGGCUUUGACUGGUAGCCGGCCUGAGAGGGUGACCGGCCACAUUGGGACUGAGAGACGGCCCAGACUCCUACAGGAGGCAGCAGUGGGGAAUAUUGCACAAUGAGCGGAAGUCUGAUGCAGCAACGCCGCGUGCGGGAUGACGUCUUUCGGGUUGUAAAACGCAUUCGCCUGUGACGAAGCGUUAGUGACGGUAAUGGGUAAAUAAGCACCGGCUAACUACGUG